GGAAGGAUCAUUACCAAUCCAACCUUACAAACCACUGUGCACCUGUUUUUGUCCUUGGGAGGAAGGAAGUGAUUGCAGUUUCGGCUGCUUUUACUGAGAGCCUCCCAAAUGUUUUAAACAACUUGUUAAACAAUUUUGUUGACAAACUUUUCUGCAGCUUCUUAGCACAGAAAUAUCUUAACAAAAUACAACUUUUAACGGUGGAUCUCUUGGCUCAUGCAUCGAUGAAGAACGCAGCGAAAUGCGAUACGUAAUGUGAAUUGCAGAAUUCAGUGAAUCAUCGAAUCUUUGAACGCAAAUUGCGCUUUGGGGUAUUCCCCGGAGCAUACCUGGUUGAGUAUCAUUAACCCAACUCAUUCAAAUUCCUUUACUGGAAACUGCGAAUGGACAUGAGGCGUUUGGGCUUACAUUUAUUGGCUUUCUAACCUUGUUAGAGAACAAAUAAAUCCAGCCCAAUCCCUUUUAAGAACAGAGAUGUGCGCCGUUCACUGGCUGUACAAUUGAUGUGGUAAUUGUUUUCGUAACAUCACUCUUCAAUUGGCACCAGAGUUUAAAGCUCACAUUUGAUCACAGGAAAAUCUUAGGGAAGUUUAUCAAUUGGUUCCUCUCUCCGGAAAGGUUACCUUUUUUUAACAACUCUUUGAAUCUUUGAUCUCAACUCAGGUAAGACUACCCGCCGAAUUUAAGCAUAUUAAUAAGCGGAGGAAAAGAAACUAACAAGGAUUCCCCUAGUAACGGCGAGUGAAGCGGGAAUAGCUCAAAUUUGAAAUCUCCUUGCUUUGCAAGGCGAGUUGUAAUUUAGAGAAGCAUUUUCUAAGAUGGCCCUGGUAUAAAUUCCUUGGAAUGGGGUAUCAUAGAGGGUGAGAAUCCCGUCUGUGACUGGGUGUCCAUUUUUUUACGAUAUGCUUUCUACGAGUCGGGUUGUUUGGGAAUGCAGCCCAAAAUGGGUGGUAAAUUUCAUCUAAAGCUAAAUAUUGGCAUGAGACCGAUAGCGAACAAGUACCGUGAGGGAAAGAUGAAAAGAACUUUGAAAAGAGAGUUAAACAGUACGUGAAACCGUUAAAAGGGAAACGAUUGAAACUAGCAUUUGUUUCUUUCCAGAUCAGGUAAACAGUUUGAGGUCAUUUAGCUUUGAGAGCGCAAGCCUCGGGUUUUUUGUUCCGAUUUUUGUUUGCUGCACUCUGGUUUGAAACAGGUCAGCAUCAAUUUUGACUGCAGGAUAAGGGUAGCAGAAGGUAGCUCAUUUGCUUGCAUUUGAGUAUUAAGUCUGUUGCUUUCUACUGCGGGCGGGAUUGAGGUGACGCAGAGUGUGCCUUUGGCUGGGAUCUUUUGCAUUUAGUGGUCUGGCAGGAUCUCACUGCUUGCAGUGUGGUUUUGACAUGUCUGCUAAGUGUUUAAUGUACCACAAACACUCUUCGGAUGUUGACGAAAUGGUUUUAACCGACCCGUCUUGAAACACGGACCAAGGAGUCUAACAUAUGCGCAAGUCUUUGGGUGGCAAACCCCCGGGCGCAAUGAAAGUGAAGGCAAGUUCGGCUUGCUGAGGUGAGAACCCGCAAGGGUGCAUCAUCGACCGAUCUGGAUAUUCUUUGAAAGAUUUGAGUAAGAGCGUAUAUGCUGGGACCCGAAAGAUGGUGAACUAUGCCUGAAUAGGGUGAAGUCAGAGGAAACUCUGAUGGAAGCUCGUAGCGAUUCUGACGUGCAAAUCGAUCGUCGAAUUUGGGUAUAGGGGCGAAAGACUAAUCGAACCAUCUAGUAGCUGGUUCCCUC
RNAcentral lists this unclassified non-coding RNA (1770 nucleotides) under uncultured fungus. Its description in RNAcentral is "sequence contains 18S rRNA gene, ITS1, 5.8S rRNA gene, ITS2, 28S rRNA gene". The stretch from base 650 to 1770 matches the Rfam family "Eukaryotic large subunit ribosomal RNA", at positions 1 to 961 of the family's 3401-position model. Lineage: Eukaryota; Fungi. The record is from RNAcentral.